RNAcentral lists this ribosomal RNA (467 nucleotides) under uncultured bacterium. Its description in RNAcentral is "partial 16S ribosomal RNA". It matches the Rfam family "Bacterial small subunit ribosomal RNA", at positions 28 to 507 of the family's 1533-position model. The record is from RNAcentral.
GAUGAACGCUGGCGGCGUGCUUAACACAUGCAAGUCGAACGGAAAGGCCCAAGCUUGCUUGGGUACUCGAGUGGCGAACGGGUGAGUAACACGUGGGUGAUCUGCCCUGCACUUCGGGAUAAGCCUGGGAAACUGGGUCUAAUACCGGAUAGGACCACUUCUUGGAUGUUGUGGUGGAAAGUUUUUUCGGUGUGGGAUGAGCUCGCGGCCUAUCAGCUUGUUGGUGGGGUAAUGGCCUACCAAGGCGUCGACGGGUAGCCGGCCUGAGAGGGUGUACGGCCACAUUGGGACUGAGAUACGGCCCAGACUCCUACGGGAGGCAGCAGUGGGGAAUAUUGCACAAUGGGCGCAAGCCUGAUGCAGCGACGCCGCGUGGGGGAUGACGGCCUUCGGAUUGUAAACUCCUUUCGCUAGGGACGAAGCGUUUUGUGACGGUACCUGGAGAAGAAGCACCGGCUAACUACGUG